Long non-coding RNA from Lycium ferocissimum, 301 nucleotides. RefSeq lists it as uncharacterized. NCBI's taxonomy places the organism in Eukaryota, Viridiplantae, Streptophyta, Magnoliopsida, Solanales, Solanaceae. The record is from RefSeq and is a predicted model, not a curated record. The transcript is spliced from 2 exons.
UUUAGGAGAUUGGACUUGCUCUUCAUUUUGUGUUAAGUUAUCAUCUGGCAGCCCUGUGUCUGAUAAAGCAGCAAACUGAUUUCUUGUUUGCACUGAAUAAUUUUGCGAAGUUGAUCCAUGUCUGGCCAUCCAUAUGAGAAUUUACCCACUACAGCAUACUGAAAUUUCUCAAUGAUAUUCAUCCUUUUCACCUCUUCCUCGGUCCAUUUGAGAUAUGGUACCCCAUGGAGAAAAGAUACUUUCUUGAUUUCAAUUGGUGCAACAGUCUGUGUUUCUUCAUUCAAAAUUGUAGGCUUCAAAA